GCCAGGCACCGUGGCGCCUGCCUGUAAUCCCAGCCGUCUGGGAGACUGAGGCAGGAGGAUCUCAAGUUCAAAGCCAGACUCAGCAAUUUUAGCGAGACUCUAAGCAACUUAGCGAGAACCUGUCUCUC
RNAcentral lists this small RNA (128 nucleotides) under Marmota monax (woodchuck). The record is from RNAcentral. Lineage: Eukaryota; Metazoa; Chordata; Mammalia; Rodentia; Sciuridae.